AGCCAAAGGUUUUGCAUUGGGUAGAUCCUGGGUGAUCCCACCUGCCUGCUCCCAGCUGGAGGAAGCCAGACUGGCUGCAGCUGGCUAAGACAUUCCAGCCUCUUAAUCAUUAAUCACAAGCGUGAUCAUUUGCCUUCAUUUGAUUUUACUUGAUAUCCAUCAUUACAUCAGUCUGGUCACAGUUCACUGAAGCAAGUCCUGAUUUUUGGAGGAUUUAGGGGAGGGGAGAGAAGUGAGGGGAGUGUGAUAAGGGGACACAGUGCUGGAAGAAGCAGGAGAGAUGGUUGGUGUCCUGUCCAUCACAUCCACACUCAGUGAGGACUGAACACCACACAUUGCUGGAGCUGCCUUUGGUGUGGGAGUCCCAGGCAUCCUGCCCAAAGCCAGGCAGGCUGGCUGCCUUGCCCAGGGGCUGUAAGCUGUGCUUGUCACGUGUGUCAGAAGGUGAAUGGGCCUCUGUCCCAUGUGGGAGAGGUCGGUGCUCCCCUGGGAGGAGGUUUUGUGGUUUUGCCCCUCGCUCUUGGGUGAGGUUCCCUGGGAAUGGAUGUUCCUUUGGGUGCAGCAUCUCCAAAGCCCUUUAUCAGCAGAUGUGUUUUUGGGACUCCACUUGCUGUGUUGGCCAAACUCUCCAGCAUGGAUUAGGAGGGGAUGGAGUGAGGCACAGCUUUGGGUACACUGGUGCAUCCAGGUCCCCACUGCUGCCCUGACCAGCAUGGGCAGGAGGAGAUGCUGGCUCAGCUUUAAACACUGGGGUUUUGUCAGUGUAAUUUGGCACUGACAGGUGUGUUGGGAACAGGUGACAAGCAGUGACACCAAAUCCAUUUGGCUUGGUGCCGCCUUCCUCACAAACCUUGCUGGCACUGCCACAGCAGCAGGGCAGGAUGGGGAGGAUGGAUCUGGGGUCGCUUGGCUUGGCAGUGUUGCCUUGGGGGUGAAGCUGUGGGGCAGCAGCUCCAGCUGGGAAGCAGGAGUGAUGCCAUCAGGGGGAGAGGGUGAGAAACACAGCCAGGAUUUUCCUCAGCUGUAUGUAGGAGAUGAGGCAGGGGUUAACCAGCCCAGGUGUCCAGCAGGAACAACCCAGAUUAACAGCACUUUCACGGUCUGGUGUUACAGCAGCCCUCACUUAAAUUAACCCGAGGCUUUUGUAGCAGCCAGGUGGAGCUGCUGGAGCCACACGCGGUCACCCUGGGCCAUCCCAGGGGCCCUUCCCGGGCGGUUCUGCAGCCUCUGCCUCAGUUUUCCCCUUGGAGCUUCUGAGCCUUGAUUUUCCCUGUGAAUUUUGUCAAGCCCUUUUAGCUAAACUGAUCACGGAGCUGGGAUGUUGGAAUAUAGGUAUAAAAACAGUUUCUUAGUAGCUGAUCUGCAGGCAGGGGUUCUGGGAAGUCGGAUCUUGGGAAAGCUGGGAGUCCUGGGAAGGCUGAGGAUCCUGCAAAUACUGAGAGGGCUGGGGGUGCAUGGAAGGUUUGGGGUCCUGGGAGGGCUGGGACCCUCUGGACCACAGCUCCCAGGCUGGGGAGCUCACGGUAGGGUGGACUAUGGUGAACAUGGGCUAGAGUCCCCGCACAGGGAGUGUAGCCUCUCCCAGCGAGCAGGAGGAGGGAAACUGAGGCAGGAGAUGCAAUUCCCGCCCCAUGGAUUCCCUUGCUUCCCCUCCCGGAGGCCCGAGCAAGGUGGCUCGGCAGCCCCGGGCCCCCCGGCUGUGCCCGGGUCCCUCAGGGCGCCUUUGUGCCACGGACGCCGCAGCAGCGCCACUGCUGACUCAGGGAUUCUUCCCGGGAGCCGCCGUGGGAGCCCCGUGACCCAUCGGAGGGGGGACCCUGCGAGGGCAGCGAGCGGCGGCGAAGCACCGAGGCGACAGCUCUGCGGAGAGACAGCCGGAGUUACUCCGUGGUGGGGCCGAGGGACGGAGGGGACACUCCAGCCGAGCAGGAGCCGCCGCCAUGAGCUCCCGGCACUUCCCGGCCCGGACCGUGCUCUUUGAGAAGGAAUCCAACGGUGUCACGUACCGUGUGCCUGCCCUGCUCUACCUGCCCUGCGUGGCCAAGCUGCUGGCAUUCGCCGAGGAGCGGCUCAGCGCCGACGAUGCCCACGCCAACCUGCUGGUGCUGCGCCGCGGAACCAUCUACGGCAGCUACGUGGAGUGGGAAGACAUGCGUGUGCUGGAGACAGCAACGCUGCAGCACCAUCGGUCAAUGAACCCCUGCCCACUCUACGAUGAGUUCACAGGCACCCUCUUCCUCUUCUUCAUCACGGUGCUGGGCAGGACGCCUGAAGCCUACCAGAUUGUCACUGGCCAAAACGUCACCCGCCUCUGCUGUGUCACCAGUGCUGACCAGGGCCUGAGCUGGAGCACAGCCACAGACCUGACACAGCAGGUCAUUGGCGCAACCAUCAAAGACUGGGCGACGUUCGCGCUGGGCCCUGGGCACGGGAUCCAGCUGCGUUCUGGCCGGCUGCUGGUGCCAGCCUACAGCUACCACAUCGACUGCAAGGAGUGCUUUGGGCAGCUCUGCAAGACCACCCCACACUCAUUCGCCUUCUAUAGCGACGACCACGGCCGCGGCUGGCGCUUCGGGGAGUUCAUCCCCAACCUGCAGACAGGCGAGUGCCAGCUGGUCUCAGUGGAUGAGGAGGAUGGAUCCAAUGUCCUCUACUGCAACGCCCGCAGCCCCUUGGGCUUCAGGGUCCAGGCAUUCAGCACAGAUGAUGGGGCCGUUUUCCAUGGGGGGCAGCUGGUCCAGCGGCUGGUGGAGCCCCCCCAUGGCUGUCAUGGCAGUGUCAUUGGCUUCCCUGCACCAUUGGUGUAUGUUCCCACUGCCUCCCGGGACAAUGGGAUGCCCCUCCAGGGCUCAGCUCGCCCGCUGCUCCCUGGAGUGCUCCGGAGGCUUGCAGCGGGAGGAGGUGCUGAGCUGCCCACGGGCAACCACCAUGAGCCCAAUAAGGAUUGUCCUACCCCAGGGCAUCACAAUGAUGCCCACAGUGUCACCUUGGUCCAGGGGGACUCUGCAGCAACUCCCAGCCCCACUCCCUUCUUCCAAGCACCAACAUGGAUCCUCUACUCGCACCCCACCAGCUCCAUGUCGCGGGUCAACAUGGGGGUUCACCUGAGCACCUUCCCCAGGGAUGCUGAGAGCUGGACAGAGCCCUGGGUCAUCUACGAGGGCCCGAGCGCUUACUCGGACCUGGCUUACCUGGAGCUGCCCUACAGGGACGCGCCGGUGGCCGGCGGCACGGCCAUCGCCUUCGCCUGCCUCUACGAGAACGGGAUGAGAUCUCCCUAUGAGCAGAUCUCCUUCAGCAUGUUCACACUGCACGACGUGCUCCAGAACAUCCCCCUGACUGCUGCUCCCCGCAGCCACCGCAGGAAGAGGAGGAGAAGGAGCUGCCUCAUGUCCUAGAGCCCGCCCAGGCCAGCUCCCCCCACCACCCCAGUGCUGCAUCCUGGAGCAUCAACCCAAGAGCUGGGUCCUGCCACCAUCCAGCAUGGCCACAUCGCACAGAGCCAGGUGACACCUGGGGUGACGCCUCCUCCGAGCAGCAGCCUCCUGGCACCACCAUGG
This is an RNA transcript of Catharus ustulatus (Swainson's thrush), 3560 nucleotides long. It is a transcript of the gene named sialidase-4-like, with no coding region annotated. NCBI's taxonomy places the organism in Eukaryota, Metazoa, Chordata, Aves, Passeriformes, Turdidae. The transcript has 5 exons. The record is from RefSeq and is a predicted model, not a curated record.